This 77-nucleotide transfer RNA is filed under the name Corynebacterium flavescens. RNAcentral describes it as "tRNA-Leu". It matches the Rfam family "tRNA". From Rfam's summary of the family: Transfer RNA (tRNA) molecules are approximately 80 nucleotides in length. The record is from RNAcentral. Lineage: Bacteria; Bacillati; Actinomycetota; Actinomycetes; Mycobacteriales; Corynebacteriaceae. RNAcentral also lists the same sequence under 8 other names.
GCCCCUGUAGCCCAAUUGGCAGAGGCAAUGGAUUCAAAACCCAUUCAGUGUGAGUUCGAGUCUCACCAGGGGCACCA